AUGAUGAGAACUUCUUCCUCAACUUCUCACCUUAUGAACGAGGACACGUGUGUUCCUGCGUCUGCUGACGAAUCCAGAACCUCAGAGGACGAGGACACGGACACUCAGUCUGUGUCUGAAACUCAGUCAACGACACCAAAGAUCGUCAGCGUGAGAGGGUCAUGUCCACCCACAGAUACGGACGCCGUGGCCGCUGGCGUGUCUGUGAUGACGCUGGUGAAGAAGAGCGAGGGCGGGACGGUUUACAACAAGAGGUUCUACUGCCUCUACUGCUCCAAGCCUCAAGGCAAAAUGGCCCGACACCUCGAACGCAAACAUCAACAUGAGCCCGAGGUGGAGCGGGCGUUCACGUUCCUAAAGGGCUCCGUGGAGCGCUGCGUACGCCUCAGGCUACUGACCAACCGAGGGAACCGCGCCCACAACAUCCAGGUGCUGAGGGAGGGGCGGGGCCUAACCAUCCCACUGAAGCAGUCCAACGCGCCUGUGAACGCCAGCGACUACACGCACUGCUUUAACUGCGAGGCGUUUUUAAAAAGGAAGUUCCUACGGCGUCACAUGCAGACGUGCCAGGAAAGAGUACGAUGGGAGGCGGACGAGAGGGCGGUCCACAAUGCUCUGAAGGCCCCGCCCACACGCCGCCUAAACUCAGACUUCCUGAAGCUGCUGCGGGAAAUGCAUCAGGACCAGGUGACGGAGGCCGUGUGCAGCGACAGGUACGUCCUGAAGCUGGAGGAGGAGCUCUUCCUGAAGCGAGAGUACAUCAGACAGAGAAUGCGCGACACAGGCCGACUGCUUCUUCAGGGUUGGACCACGGGAAAACUUCAAACCAUCACCGACUUUGUUCUUCCUACCAACUUUCCCUCUGCGCCGCAGCUUUGUGUGUUUGCAGAAGACGUGAGAACUAUUCACCGAUAUCUGAACACGCAGAGGAAGGAGCUGCAAAGCAUGCUGGGAGAGUAACCCAGUCAGGAGAGGUGGGAGGAGCUUGCAGAGCUCACGCUGUGUGAGGUGAUGCUGUUUAACGGUCACAGUGACCAGGACGUGUCUGACAUGCAUCUGACAGCGUUGUCAUGUGAUGUUCACCUGGACCAGAACGUCAUGCCGUCCAAACGUGAGGAGAUGCUCAGGAAGAACUUCAUCCACCUGCAGAUACGAGACAGGAACGCUCAGAACGCGCCCGUGUUCGUCACUGCCCACGCGCUGGCGUCCAUGAAGCUGCUGGUCAUGACUCGUCUGAGGUGCGACGUUCCUCAGGAGAACCACUUCCUGUUUGCCCGCCCACAGGACCUGGGUCACCUCAGCGGGUCAGACGCUAUCUGUCACGUCGCUCAGACGUGUGGAGUCAAACACGCCGAGGCCAUGGCGUCAGGAAAGCUACGGACGCACACGGCGGCCAUGUUGGAGGUUCUGGUCCUACAGGACAGGGACCACCUGACGGAGCUGCUGGGCCAGGGACCCCAUGUUUCCUACCAGGACGCCACGCUGCAGGACGGGACCUCCACCAGGUCUGCCUCCAGCCCAGAGGUGGGUGUAGUUAAAAUAGUAAAUACUAACUAGUUUAAAACUAAUUAAAGCGUUUGGUUUAACUUGUACAGUAGAAGAAUAGAUAGA
Molecule: long non-coding RNA, 1611 nt
Filed under: Gouania willdenowi (blunt-snouted clingfish)
Lineage: Eukaryota; Metazoa; Chordata; Actinopteri; Blenniiformes; Gobiesocidae
Description: lncRNA (ENSGWIG00000000732.1)
Source: RNAcentral